CGCGUAGGCGGAUCGUUAAGUUAGAGGUGAAAGCCCAGGGCUCAACCUUGGAACUGCCUUUGAUACUGGCGAUCUGGAGUACGGGAGAGGUGUGUGGAACUCCGAGUGUAGAGGUGAAAUUCGUAGAUAUUCGGAAGAACACCAGUGGCGAAGGCGACACACUGGCCCGUUACUGACGCUGAGGCGCGAAAGCGUGGGGAGCAAACA
Molecule: ribosomal RNA, 207 nt
Filed under: uncultured bacterium
Lineage: Bacteria
Description: partial 16S ribosomal RNA
Rfam family: Bacterial small subunit ribosomal RNA
Source: RNAcentral